UGCACUCACAAGGUAGCCUUCACGUGGCGAGUGUGUUAAGUAAUAAGUUAAUAACAAAUCUUCCAGUUUGUACUUAUGAAAACUAAUACCUU
This 92-nucleotide non-coding RNA is filed under the name unclassified sequences. The record is from RNAcentral.